AAGACCUUAGUUAAAUAAUAACAGUAGUCUGUCAGCCUACAAUUACCUUUAGGUAGGCCUUA
RNAcentral lists this transfer RNA (62 nucleotides) under Placobdella lamothei. RNAcentral describes it as "transfer RNA Aspartic Acid". The record is from RNAcentral. Lineage: Eukaryota; Metazoa; Annelida; Clitellata; Rhynchobdellida; Glossiphoniidae.